CUACUUUUCUUGCCAAAUUAUCCAAAACAAGUGAAACCUUAACUUCAAAUGUUCUUGGACCUAAGUUUAGGAUUUUAAGACCUAAAACUAGAAGACUAAAGCUACAAAAUAAGAGUAAUACUCGAUCAAUUCAUCCAAGUCUAAUGAAAAAUAAGCCUAAGGAGUCUAUUUAUAGCUUAUUACAUGAAAGACCAAAAUAUCCUUAAUGAAGGGUGCUCCUUUUGAGUGUAAAAAGGGAGUCAAAAGACCAUAAUGUCCCUAAGUUGAGGCGCCUUUCGAGUAUAUUCAAGGCUUCCUUGGAAUGUAUUAAAUGCUCUUCUUCACAUUUUAGCAAAUACACUCCCUUGGUUGAAGG
RNAcentral lists this long non-coding RNA (355 nucleotides) under Capsicum annuum. Its description in RNAcentral is "long non-coding RNA (CANN_LNC001007)". The record is from RNAcentral. Lineage: Eukaryota; Viridiplantae; Streptophyta; Magnoliopsida; Solanales; Solanaceae.